GAUGAACGCUGGCGGCGUGCCUAAUACAUGCAAGUCGAGCGAACAGACGAGGAGCUUGCUCCUCUGACGUUAGCGGCGGACGGGUGAGUAACACGUGGAUAACCUACCUAUAAGACUGGGAUAACUUCGGGAAACCGGAGCUAAUACCGGAUAAUAUAUUGAACCGCAUGGUUCAAUAGUGAAAGACGGUUUUGCUGUCACUUAUAGAUGGAUCCGCGCCGCAUUAGCUAGUUGGUAAGGUAACGGCUUACCAAGGCAACGAUGCGUAGCCGACCUGAGAGGGUGGUCGGCCACACUGGAACUGAGACACGGUCCAGACUCCUACGGGAGGCAGCAGUAGGGAAUCUUCCGCAAUGGGCGAAAGCUUGACGGAACAACGCCGCGUGAGUGAUGAAGGUCUUCGGAUCGUAAAACUCUGUUAUUAGGGAAAAACAAAUGUGUAAGUAACUAUGCACGUCUUGACGGUACCGAAUCAGAAAGCCACGGCUAACUACGUG
Molecule: ribosomal RNA, 497 nt
Filed under: uncultured bacterium
Lineage: Bacteria
Description: partial 16S ribosomal RNA
Rfam family: Bacterial small subunit ribosomal RNA
Source: RNAcentral